Molecule: ribosomal RNA, 253 nt
Filed under: uncultured bacterium
Lineage: Bacteria
Description: partial 16S ribosomal RNA
Rfam family: Bacterial small subunit ribosomal RNA
Source: RNAcentral
GACAGAGGGUGCAAACGUUGUUCGGAAUUACUGGGCGUAAAGGGCGCGUAGGCGGCUUCGAUAGUUGGGCGUGAAAUGCCUGGGCUUAACCCAGGAAUUGCGCUCAAUACUGUGAGGCUCGAGUGUGGGAGAGGAUAGUGGAAUUCCCAGUGUAGAGGUGAAAUUCGUAGAUAUUGGGAAGAACACCAGCGGCGAAGGCGGCUAUCUGGACCACAACUGACGCUGAGGCGCGAAAGCGUGGGGAGCAAACAGG